AUUGAACGCUGGCGGCAUGCCUUACACAUGCAAGUCGAACGGCAGCACGGGUGCUUGCACCUGGUGGCGAGUGGCGAACGGGUGAGUAAUACAUCGGAACAUGUCCUGUAGUGGGGGAUAGCCCGGCGAAAGCCGCAUUAAUACCGCAUACGAUCUACGGAUGAAAGCGGGGGACCUUCGGGCCUCGCGCUAUAGGGUUGGCCGAUGGCUGAUUAGCUAGUUGGUGGGGUAAAGGCCUACCAAGGCGACGAUCAGUAGCUGGUCUGAGAGGACGACCAGCCACACUGGGACUGAGACACGGCCCAGACUCCUACGGGAGGCAGCAGUGGGGAAUUUUGGACAAUGGGCGAAAGCCUGAUCCAGCAAUGCCGCGUGUGUGAAGAAGGCCUUCGGGUUGUAAAGCACUUUUGUCCGGAAAGAAAUCCUUGGCCCUAAUACGGUCGGGGGAUGACGGUACCGGAAGAAUAAGCACCGGCUAACUACGUG
Molecule: ribosomal RNA, 486 nt
Filed under: uncultured bacterium
Lineage: Bacteria
Description: partial 16S ribosomal RNA
Rfam family: Bacterial small subunit ribosomal RNA
Source: RNAcentral